GUUAUUGUACUGUAGUGGUUAUCACAUUUGCUUAAUAUACGAAAGGUCCCCAGCUUGAAACUGGGCAGAAACA
This 73-nucleotide transfer RNA is filed under the name Hippoglossus stenolepis (Pacific halibut). RNAcentral's name for it is "tRNA-Ile". Lineage: Eukaryota; Metazoa; Chordata; Actinopteri; Pleuronectiformes; Pleuronectidae. The record is from RNAcentral.